RNAcentral lists this ribosomal RNA (495 nucleotides) under uncultured bacterium. Its description in RNAcentral is "partial 16S ribosomal RNA". It matches the Rfam family "Bacterial small subunit ribosomal RNA", at positions 28 to 507 of the family's 1533-position model. The record is from RNAcentral.
GACGAACGCUGGCGGCGUGCCUAAUACAUGCAAGUAGAACGCUGAAGGAGGAGCUUGCUUCUCUGGAUGAGUUGCGAACGGGUGAGUAACGCGUAGGUAACCUGCCUGGUAGCGGGGGAUAACUAUUGGAAACGAUAGCUAAUACCGCAUAACAUUAACUAUUGCAUGAUAGUCAGUUAAAAGGUGCAAUUGCAUCACUACCAGAUGGACCUGCGUUGUAUUAGCUAGUUGGUGGGGUAACGGCUCACCAAGGCGACGAUACAUAGCCGACCUGAGAGGGUGAUCGGCCACACUGGGACUGAGACACGGCCCAGACUCCUACGGGAGGCAGCAGUAGGGAAUCUUCGGCAAUGGACGGAAGUCUGACCGAGCAACGCCGCGUGAGUGAAGAAGGUUUUCGGAUCGUAAAGCUCUGUUGUAAGAGAAGAACGAGUGUGAGAGUGGAAAGUUCACACUGUGACGGUAUCUUACCAGAAAGGGACGGCUAACUACGUG